Molecule: long non-coding RNA, 4132 nt
Filed under: Homo sapiens (human)
Lineage: Eukaryota; Metazoa; Chordata; Mammalia; Primates; Hominidae
Description: HSALNT0159285
Source: RNAcentral
CUGCUGCUUUGAUGUCACCAGGAGUUGGGCACAGGGGACGGAGGGGCUAAGAACCACAAAGGGGGAGGCAGGGAGGCUGGCCUAAGGGGUCAAGGGAGGAGCCGAGUUAUUAGAGCCAGGGGCCAGGUCACCUAGUGGAGUCUAGAACCUUGGAGACCCAUCCAGUGGGAGACUCAGCCGCUGCUGAAGCCUUCAUCCAUGGUCAAGGGGAGCCUCCAAGGUAUGCCUCGGAGAGAAGCAUUUUAAAUCUUCUGAAACGAGAUGCAGACAGACAAAACGAAACAGGACAAAGACGUCACUGAGGGCACUGCCAACACUUCUGGAGCUUGUCCUGAAGAGCCAUUCGUGUGCUUGGACUGAUCUCCCGUCUUGUGCUCUUGGCAUUGGUGCAGGAUCCUGCAUGUACAUUUGCAGGUGCGAGCUUGUGCACGCGAACAUGUGUGCUGCUUCCUCUCACGAACCCAGCAGCAUAGCAGCAGCCAGAGACGCCCCAGAGUGAUGACAACUAAUUAUGAAACACCAGUCUGAUCUGUCCCUUUUAUCUCAUCUUGCAGAAGCCUUGCAUUCCCCCAAAGCCCCCCAGUGGCCCUUUGUAAUCCCAGAAAAGAAGUGUCAAUAUGGAAACAGCUGUUCUUGAGAUAGUGGGAUGACAGCCUAAUGAGCAUGCCAUCAGCUAUAGAGGAAACCCAAGGCUAAUGGGCUUCUGAUGCAAAUAUUCUUUCUAGACCAUCCCACUCAUAUGAGAAAGGCUACAGUCCCCAGCAAGACUGGGAGAGGACACACUGGCCUAUAGAUGUCAAGUCUUCUUUUGUUCUUAUUUAGGUUUUUAGCCUCUCAAACCCCAUGGGGCAUCAGGCAAUCUCCCUGACUCCUCUGGAAGGUGACUGGAAAAAAGGCAGCCCCAAUUUUUUUUUUUGUUUUGUUUAGAGGCCAUGCUAGGGAAGCCAGCAGGAGCACAGGGCUCCUGCAAUUUUGGUAGCAGGAGAAACAGCCACAGGUUGCUGUGGUUCAGGCAGGGAGUGAAGGCUGUGCUUAGAAAGAACCCAAAUUCCCAAUCAUUCAAGGGGGAAAGGUUAGGGAGAAAUAGUGGGAGAGAGCUGUAGAGGUGGAGGAAAGGGGGAUGAUGGAUUGCAGCAGGCGACUUAAAACAGAUGCCUUUUCUAGGGGCAAGGCAAGGGAUGAAGAGAACUGACCUACCAUGUGCCUCCUUGGCAUCAGACACACCCCUGGACACUUGCUCUAUGUCACCUCUUCUGAAUCUUCACCAUGAUCCUGUAAGCCGGGUAGCAUUAGCUGCACUGUAUUGAUAAGGAAACUGAAGCUCACAAAGACGAAAUGCUUGCCAACAAUCUCACAUCUAGGAAGUGGUACCAAGCUGGGAUUGAGACUUGAGCCCAUGAGACUUUAAAGCUCCCUCUCAAUUUUCUUUGGGGAUGUGUAUAUAGGUGGGGAAGCUAUACAGAAAAUAAAAAAAAUCUUUAUAUAAAAGCUGGGGGGUCCAGACAUGGUGGCUCACACCUGUAAUAAUCCUAGCACUUUCGGGGCUGAAGCAAAAUGUUUGCUUGAACCCAGACAUUCAAGACAAGCCUGGGCAAUAUAACAAGACCUCAUCUCCACAAAAAUAAAAAAAAAAAAUAAUAAAAAAAACAGCUGGGCAUGGUGGCUUAUACCUGUAGUCCCACCUACUUGGGAGGCUGAGGUGGGAGGAUUGUUUGAGCCCAGGAGGUCGAGGCUGCAGUGAGCCAACAUCAUGUCACCACACUCCAGCCUGGGGGAUAGAGGGAGACCCUGACUCAAAUAAAUACAUAAAUACAAUAAAAUAAAAAUAAAUAAAUAAAAACUGGGGGAGGGUUCUGUUUCCCUCUGGGGGAGGGAGAGAAUUUUAAUCUAGAGGGGAUACUCAGAGACUCCUGGAGUCCUCACUCACAAUAUUUCAUUUUUAAUCUGGGUGGUGGUUACACAGGGUGUUCAUGUUGUAAAUAAUCCUUUAGACUAUCCAUACAUGUUUUAUGGACUUUUGUGCACCUCACCGAUAUCUUACAAUAACAAAUUACAAACAAAAAAGAGUCCCUAUUAUUUUUGCAUCCAGUGAUUUCUUCAGUAUAUCACCAGAACGGCAUCUGAAAUGACUGUGUCAGACACCAGAGUACAACCUGGUAAGAAAUGCAUGCAAUCAUGAGAUUUCUGCGUUUUUUUUUGCAUUUUAUUGCUCCCAGCAAAAGUUAAAUUUUACAAUAACAGUAAAAAUAUACUAGUUAAAACUCAAGCGAUUGAUAUGUAUCUAUUGAGGUCCUUGUAUACAAUAUUCUAGGUGCCAUGGAGGUUACAAAGGUGUCCUUGCCUUUUGGAUCUCAGGAUCACCUUGAGGAGGAGGCAAGACAGAGACACAGAAUGAGAGAAUUAACUAAGUGAGGUCAACAAAUAAUGAGUGGUACAGAGAGGAAGUGCGACAGAAAUCCACGUGUCUAAGCUUCGCAGAGGGGAGAGAAUUUCAUUGAGGCUUGAAGGAUGUAUGAACUUCAGACAGGUCAAGAGGAAGCAGAAUUACAAGCACAAAGACAUAGUAAUGAGAAGAGGCUCGCUGUCUUGCAGAGACUAAUGUUGACCAGUUUGGAGUGGGGAACUCACAAUGGGAAAUUAUAAGAGAUAGGCUUAAAAGAGAACUUGACCUCCAAAACCUUGUGUGAUCUGGCCCAAACUUUGUCUAGCUGCCUGAAUUUGUUGGAAUCACAUGAUUUAAUAUAAACAUUGCAUAAUGUUAAAUGUGAUUUAAAUGCUUCUCAAGGGAGAAGCAGGGGCACAAAUGUUGCUACAGAGGGCAGGCAAAUGCUAUGUAAAUAAGGGGUAAAAAUUGAGUGUGGGGAGGUUGGGCUAGAGAUGAUAAUGGAUGGAAGAACUGGAGAAGUGCUGGCUGUGGGAGGAUGAGAAGGUGAGUUCAAGUGAUAAGUCAAAGAUGCACACUGGGGCUAUGAAAAGAUGGGUUGUAUUUAGAGAAAAGGAUGGAGUGUCUGACCCCAUUCUCUUUCAAGGUGGAGUGCAUCUUGGAGCUGGGAAAGGAGACGAAGGUGGUAGAAGUGUUAGGAGAGGAGCCUGCGGGUAGGGGAAGUUAAGGAGAGAAUGGGAAAUGUAUUAAUGACUUUGUGGUAUUGAAAUAAAACAGUUCCCUGAUUAAUUCGUUUCCUCCAAUACGACCAAACUCACACCAACACUUUGGCAUGCCACAGAUCACCCCCAAGAGUGACUCCACAGCCAUCAGCCACCAUCCCCACCAUCCCAGGCAGUGGCAGCCAGGCAGAGGAAGUGGUCCAAGAAACCUCCCUGUCUGCAGUUCAGUUUCUACUCAUACUUCUCAUAAAGUCAUGACCCUGGCCAUGAAUCUCCCAUCCCUGGAAACCCAGAAGGACGCUCUCCCUUCUGGACGCAUUCCUCCUCCAGGCAUAACUUCCAACACGAAGGUCAGAAUGAAUGCGAGUCGCCCAGAGCCCCACACCCAGCCCUGGGAAGGGCGAUUCCCUCUGGGAAUUCUGCCAGCACAAUGUUGCCUCAAUUUGAAGACAAAUUUUAAAUUAAUAAAGAAAAAAAAAAGCCUCAGACUCUCACGUCUGCCAAAACACACCAUUCCCUGAAAGGUUCCUGAAAAGGACUCAGUGAUGUACUAUAAAGAAAGCGCCAACCUUCCAUAGCCUUCUCCAGCUGCGAGACGCAGACUGGCGGGUCCUGGAAAGGUAACAGCUCACAGCCGCCUUCCCGGGGGCAGCGCAGUGUUGUUCUUGGAUCGAGAAGACCUUUCAGCUGCCUUACCACCUGUGUAUUUCACAGUCUUGCAGUUCCCUAAACCCCUAUGAACAACACAGAACGAACAGACCCGUGGCCAACAGAAAACCCUGAGAAAAGUACUGGAAGAAAGAGUGUGGUUGGUUUAAGAUAGAAAUGAUGUGAAGGUUGCAGUGCGUGCCCUGCAGUUUUCAAAGCCUGCAUCGCUAAAAUCAUCACAGGAAUAGAAGUGUCCUUGUCAGCUGCUCUUUUCUUUAGCAGAGAAUCUCUCAAACAGCCUCAGGCCACAAAAUCACUUCCUGAGGAACUCUUGGUAACUGAAUGCCUCUCCAAGUAGCAGGGACCCACACACUGGAAU